GGAAAGAUCACAAAGGACAUCACAGUUUGACUUUCCUUUGUUUUAGAUCAUUUUCUCUGAGAGAAGCCAGCUGCCAUGUUGUAAGGAUGCUCAAGCAGUUUCUCCCCACGGCAACAGCCAACAUCAGUUUGCUAGCCAUGUGUGUGAGCCACCUUGGAAGCAGACCUUCUAGUCCCAGUCGAGCCUUUAGAAGACUACAGCUCAGCUACUUUCUUUCUUUUCUUUUUUCUUUUAUUAUGCAUUUUAUUUUCAUAUAAAUUCACAUCCUAGAAAAAUUAAAAUAGAAACACUAAAUACAGCAUUGCACAGAGCAAUCUCUGUUAAAUGCCCCAUUGUAUCAUUGAAGUUCAUACCCACGUGGAGGGACUGAAGGAGACAGGAAGAUGGCAGAACAGCAACCCGAGAGCCACCACUGUGUCUGUGCACAUCAGCUACAGACUGAAAGGUUAUUUUCUUCAUAGACAAUCAUAUCACCUGCAAAUCAUAUUGAAGGAGGAAACAGACAGAGUUGGACUCCAUCUUAGGCCAGGCUGCGAACAUUAGGCUACACGCAUGGUCACCCUCCCAAUGGACUCUGAACUUUGUGCCCGGUGUCUAUAGAAGUGGCAUACCAAUGGAAAACCAGACCCCCCGAUAAAAGAGCCUCGGGACUUGUACUUGGACUCUCCAUUGCCUAAAAGAAUACGCUAAUUAUCUCUGCAACAGAACAAAGUUGUAAAUUCCAUUAUAUUUAUCGGGAUAUGACCACAGGCCUAUUGAUAAACGUUCACUGUUUAUCUAGUCUUGUGACACAUGAAUCAUGGGUUAACUUUGAUCGUAUCUCUCUUUUACCUUGUCCAGACUAGUUUCAAGAAAUUUGGGGAGGUGGGUUUGGGCAAGUACACUUAGGGUAUAUAAGGUUUUCACAAAAACGGUCGGGGUCCUUGGCUAAGAGGAGACUCUGCCUUGGGCCCACCGGUGUUAUAAACUGCACUCCAUCUGCAUGGUCCUUCUGAGUGAGUUUGUUUCCCGGAAUGUGUGGCUACAACAAUAUUCAUUUUAUUUCCGUUUUAAUCCUUAAACCUUCUGUUUAUCCUGUCUCAUCACACAGUGCUAAACAGAAGUGGUAAUAAUGGUUUUCCUUGUCUUGUUUCUCAUCUUGAAGGCAAUGCUUUCCACAUUUUAACAUUAACUGUGGCAUCUGCUGUAGGCUUUUUGUACAUGCCUGUAACAGACUCUGUGAUGUACCUCUGAGGUCCCUCUUUUCUGAGCUGAAGUAAUUCUUCCAGCAGCUGGCGGUACUACUGGCAAACAGCCCUGGACCGUCAACCUUCUUCAGCUAAAGAGAGUAAACUGCCCACAUCACAUCCACUUCCUGGGGUAGCUCACCUUGGGUGGCUGGUUGACACAAGGUAUAAAGGCCCACCUAUCACCCCAAGUCAAAUCGACUCCAAAGGGCUACCCUCAUUCCAGCACUCUCUUUAGGGUUGGGUGAAGCUUUCCCUGAGUCUACACUGCAGCCUGACUUCUCCCUUCUCUGCCCAGUCUUACUUCCUACUUUCUC
Molecule: long non-coding RNA, 1543 nt
Organism: Bos indicus x Bos taurus (hybrid cattle)
Lineage: Eukaryota; Metazoa; Chordata; Mammalia; Artiodactyla; Bovidae
Source: Ensembl